This 253-nucleotide ribosomal RNA is filed under the name uncultured bacterium. RNAcentral's name for it is "partial 16S ribosomal RNA". It matches the Rfam family "Bacterial small subunit ribosomal RNA", at positions 524 to 776 of the family's 1533-position model. The record is from RNAcentral.
UACGAAGGGGGCUAGCGUUGUUCGGAAUUACUGGGCGUAAAGCGUAGGUAGGCGGGUCGAUAAGUCAGGGGUGAAAUCCCGGAGCUCAACUUCGGAACUGCCUUUGAUACUGUCGGCCUAGAGUCCGGAAGAGGUGAGUGGAAUUCCCAGUGUAGAGGUGAAAUUCGUAGAUAUUGGGAAGAACACCAGUGGCGAAGGCGGCUCACUGGUCCGGUACUGACGCUGAGCUACGAAAGCGUGGGGAGCAAACAGG